AUAGAUUAUCUAUAUCUGUAUAAGGAUAUAGGACAUAGUAUAUAAAGAUGAUCAAUUGCUUUUGAAAGUGUAUUUCCUGCUCGUAACAAGGAAGAAACUUAGACCAGGGUUCAGAUGGAUGGUGAGAAAGAACACCACUGAGAACAGAAGGAGCUUACACUGGAUUUCGGCUUAGGUAUUUCAGCUGGUACCUUAAGACUGAUGUGAUAAACCUCAGAUUAAUUGUUGUAAUAAGAGUACAGAAACACAAGAAUGACUAAUAAAUACAUAUGGGAAGUUGCAAAUUUCUCAAGAAGCAUUUGCAUGUCUGCAUCUUUCCAGUUACAACUGAUGCAAAAAAAUCCCACACUCGAUGUCAUCUGCACGUUCACUGCUUAGACUGUCAUUGAAAUGAUUAAGAAGGUGAUAUGGAGGGGUUUUUCAGCUUUUUAUUGACUGAUAUCAAUUACUAAGGGUGGCAAAUGACUCUGCCUGAAAGAUUAGUCCCAAGUUUAUAAUUCAGAUGAAAAAAAACCAACACGAUGGAUUUCCCUUCCCUGCCAGCCCACUUGUGUUGAAUAGUUCCAGCAGCAUUUUCUGUGUGAUGCACAGUAAUGCUGUUAUUUGGUUCCUCUGGUUUAUAAAUAAAAUAUUUGUAUCUGCACCUCUCUUCCCCAUGACCGACCUCUGUAAGACCACAUGGGGAAAUCAGUGCACUGCUUUCUUCUCUGUCAGGCCAACAGUGCCGGCUGCCAUCAUGCCUUGACAUUCAGGACCUGAACUCCCUCCUCCUUUGUUUCACCUCUGUGCAGAAAAAGCAGGUACAGAAGCUCCACGGGAUUUAUUUUUAACCAGCUUAUUUACCUUGCUCCAUCUGUUCAAAGCAAACAAACAUUGUGAACGGGAUAGGUGAGAGGCUGAACUGGAUGUAUACAGAGGUAAUUACCUCUGUUGUAUUUUAUUCAACUCCUGAUCUUCAAAUUUAAUAAACAAGGACUUCUUUCGGGUGCAGAUGAAGAGCAUACUUCCUUCUUUCAUUCUUUCUUUGGAAUAUAAGAACAUCCCAAAUGGAAGCAAGGAAUUUCAGAAGUAGCUACUCAUUUUGACUAUGUUUUUAUAUAUUGAGUUUGGAGUAGCUUAAUAGACAUUUUCAGCAAUGCUGUAUCUCUGUGGUUGUAUUCAAUAUAAAUUGGAUGUGUAUGGCCAUCACAGCUUCUUGGCAGCCAAAGACACCUCUCAGGAAGCUUUGGGAAAAAUUACUUACCCUUUCUCUGAAAAACAGAAGUCAGAUAAAAUGCUGGUGAACUGUGGACUUCCCAUCCCUUCUCUUCCGCUGCUGAUAACAGAGGAGAAAAAGCUAUAAUUAUUUGUUCCUGCCACUGUGUAAAAUCAAAAUCCUGUCUUCCCCGAAGGACCUAUUUGGAGUGAACUGUUUCCUAUAACUGAGCUUGGGGUUUCCCCCACCACAAAGUACUCCUUUUAUUUUCCUUUUUGUGUGCAGUGUCUUCCAGCUGAGAAAACCCCAGCUCCUUUUGUCCACAGCCACUUAACUUUUGGUAGGCCUAGUUCCAGAUUCCCCAGGAAAACUGUCUGUUUGAUUUUCACUGAGACUCAACAAUCCUAUUUUAGGUUUCACAGAGACUUAAAAAAUUUGACUUAAUAAAAUACCCCAACACGUGUGUCCACAGCCACAGAGUGAGCUGCUGUCUGAGCUUACCUGAAACUAGAGCUCAGGACUUGUUAAAUUAGUUUAACAUCAGUCUACACAGAUCAUCUAGACCACCACCUCCCUCAAGGACAGGGAAAUACUUCCCAUGUCAUAAACUUCCUUUUUGGUAUAGGGUGAUCAGACACAUAAUUGUCUGAAAGAGGAACAAUGCUGUUCUUCUACAGGCUCCAGCUCUGAAGGUCAUGAGGAGAAGGCAGGACUCACUUCAAUUGAUAAUGACAGAAAAUAUUCAUUCAAAUACAUUCAGUGUGUCAAGUGGCACUUUAAAAACCCUUUGAGGGCAAGACGGACACAGCUGCAGGCGACUGCUUCUAUCUAGGCAGGAACAGGGCACAGAGGGGUCACAUUUGCUCAGGCCUGAAUCAUCUCAUCCAAAUCACAUUAGAAAGAUCUUUCUAAAGGCUUCUUGAGAGAGAUCAGAUAUGACAACCUCAAAUUCAACUCUUUAAACUAGGACAGAGAAAAUAUCGUAAGUUUACAAAAUUGUAAUAGAUAAAAUCUUUGCAGUAGUUCAAAAGGAUACAAGCCCAGAGGAUCUGUUUUUCAGGAAAUACACUUUAGCUGCUGUUGCAUAUCACAAAUAACUGUAACUUCAUACAAAGCCUUUUUCAGAGUGGUUCUCCCAGUUGUCUUCACUGCAGACUGCAAAGAGUGUUCAGGGUCAGUGGGCUGUGUCAGGAAUUGCCUCUGAGGAGCUUUGUGAGAUUAAAAGUUGGAGUUCUUUUUACUUUAGAAGUUAUUUUCUGUUCCAAAGAAUAGUUUCAAGAUCAAAUUUUAUGUGGGGUUAGCCAUGAUGCUUCCUUCAUUACAGUUCCCCACUUGUGCUGAGAUGGGCUAACUGCUUCGACAGGAACGUGCUGGCUCAAAGUCUUGCUGUGUAUUUUAGUUCUCCCCAUGCCAACACACAUAAGGAGUUUUCUCGCCCCCAGUGAAAUGUUUUUUACUUCCCGAAAUCAACACACACUGUGCUGAAGUCAGAGCAGCCACCAUCAGUAUUUUAGCCACUGAAAAUGAAAAUAAAACCCAAUCUGAUAUGGCAGAAGCUGCAAUCGCUAAAAAAUCCCUUUGGCAAUUUUCAUUUUAAUGACCUCCUCUGCUGAUAUCAGAAGGUUAUGGCCUGGCAGCUUCCAAUUUCUGCACUCACUGCCUGUCUAAAGUCACGCUGCCUUUCUUUAAAAUGAUUCUAAGACUUUUCCCUGGACUGAUUCAUUUAACAACACUCUUCAAUGGUAUUUAAAGGCACUUAGACAUGCUCAUGAAUUAACCUUCAUAACCUCCAUUACGAAUUCAUGAGUGUCAUACUUACUACACAAAUUAGUUACUGUUAGAUGUUCAAACAAUCAAUUUCACACUUUCUUUCAUGCUCUGGGCUUACAAAAAUAUUUACAGAGCUCUCUCAUUAGCUUUUCUCAAAUCCUUCAUUAAAAUUUCUUUUGCCACAAUAGAGAAGCCUUGGCAACAGCUCCUGCCCUGUACUGGCUGCCUAUCACACUCAUCAGGAUUGCUUCACCAUUGCCUUAAAUUCCCCUCCGUGACUGUACCCAUCUGUUGUUUCAUGUCUUAUACCUCAGAAGCAAUUUGGGACAGGAUUAGCUUUUCAUUUCAGACUUUUAUUGCUUCAGUCACAAUGGGAUCAUUUUCUGUGACUGAAAUCCAACAUGCAACGUGCACAGUAGUGAACAAAUGAGGAGACAGAUAGGGAAAGGCAAAAUGCUCAAAAUAUCCUGUGAAAGCUGGGAGUCAGGGCACUGUUCAUCUUUCUGUGUCUGCAUCCUUUUGCUCACAGUUGUCAUCCUUCUCCUUAAAGGGGAAUUCCAGGCAUUCUAGCAAGGAUGAAAAAUCAAAUUUAAAAAAAGGAAGGAAGAUUACCAGGGGUAAAUCUAGGGAAGGGGAAGAGUAACUCCUCCAGUUUUCCAAAAGCUCCUAUGAAAAUGAGCUAAGCUCAUCUAAAACGUGUCAUGGGUGUCUUUAACCACUAGGAGCCGUAUUCAGACCAUCUCCCGCCUGUAACGGACCUGGCAAAUUUUAGCAUUUAGGUCAGGGGAACAGAAUCAUAGAAUCAUUUAGGAUGGAAAAGACCUCCAAGUCGAGUCCAAGCUGUGAAGAUCUUCCAUCAUCCAGGGCUGCGAGAUGCUGUAGUCACCUACACCUCAUCCAUACUUGCGUUUGGGAUUGCUGAGCUUUCCAGAUGCCCAGGAAGGAUCAACAUGCCCCAGCUUGACCCGAGUCUAAAGCUCAUGCUCUAUGUCCAGUCUGGCUUUCCUUGCUGUCCCAGUGCAAUCCCAUCACACCCUGCACAGACAGCCAGUAUUGACAGAGCUGGAGGGAGGGGAAGUGGUUCUACUGAAUCUUACACAGAAACUUUUGACAAUGUUUUCAAAGAGGGUUGUAGGCAUUUCUGAUUCCAGAGGGGUUUGUAGCUACAACGCUGACUUCUCAGGAAGUCACUUCGGAUGAAAGGCCCAUUCUCAUCAACGACCCAUCCUGUUUUCACAAAGCUCUGGAUCCACAAAGUUCUGGAGCAGGGGCAAACAUGGCUUGGCUGGGAUUGUUAAUUGCUGAGUUAAUAUACAUUUUUGCCUUCGAUUUGCCUGAAAACCUGAUGACAUUUGGUAUUUGAUUGUUUUAAAUAUUUGUUCUUGCAAAGCUUGAAAUGUGUCUCUUGGAGCAUUUUGCACUCCUGUGAUAUUCACCAUUUAAAAGCUCAGAUAUCCCAAAUGCCUCUAGAAAAGUAAACCAGGUCUGCUGCAGAAUGACUGGAAUGUCUGUCCACUGCCUGGUUACCAAACAGGCUGAAAAUAUGAGGAGCUUAAUGCAAAAAAUGCUGAUCUUUUCCACUUUCCUCAAUCAAAUUCUGUCCAGUCUAACCAGUUUGCACACACACACACCUGAAAAUUCUUUAGAAGCCAAACCUCUUGUUCACUUUUUCACUAUCCAAGAAAGUCAAUAAUAAACAAAUCUUCAUUUAAAAUUACAUAUACAAAUUUUUAGAUGUUAUAGGUGUGAUUUAUUAUAGCAGCUUCAACAGCCUCACUCCACUGGCCACCUCCCUGGAAGCUGAAACCCAUCAUCCCAUAUUUCCCAGCCUACUACAGAUGUGAACGAGGAGGAUUAAUUAGUUGACACUUUGAGAGGUAUUUUAUUUCUGUGUGAUGCCACAGGAUUGCAGUGCUGGCCACUUCUCAUAUAAAGAAGCAGAACUUGAUGAACACCUGAAUAACCUACAGAUGAAAUUUGGUCCCAUGAGGUUUAGAGUUCAACAGGUGUGAGCCAAACAUGUGUGAGAAGAAGUAGCACUGAAAGCAUCUUUAGUGAAGUGUGUGGCACAAGGGUGUGCAGUCUGGAUGUGGGUUUGAAUCAAAGUGCUUUGAGACCCUCAGGCUGAGGGGGUAAAUUUGGAUGUUCUGUUAAGUAGUAUGUGAUUUAUUUCGAAGAUGAGUCUGCAUUUGUAGCAUGUGGUGUUGACACACUGAUGACCUUUCCUAAAAGGAAGCAGUGACAUGGCUGUGCACCAGGUUUUUUCAAACCAGUUGUGCAGAGAAGACUUUGGAGCAACCUGUAAAACCUGUAAUGUACUUGCACAAGCAAUUUUUGAGCACCAGCACCAGUGAAUCCUUGUUUCCUGGAGCCUUGUACCCCGAUUGACUGCAUCCCAAGCAAAAUCACCAAGUGAAGGUUUUCCCAGAAUAGCAGCACCUACAAGAUGUCCUUCCCACCCAGAAUUCUCUGAUGAUGCAUGAGUUUCCAGCCAUUACUUCAGUAGCUUUGCUUACAGGUGCUUUAUUUUUCUACCUGUCUUCCUAUUUUCACAGAGAUGGCAUGAACUUCUGUUCAGGAUUUUGUCCUUCUGUCUUAUUUGACUGAAAACAGAUUUAAAUGUUAUUAGCAAGAGAAGAAAGGAUGAGAAAAUCCAUCAGGUGCCGUAGUUCUGCAAGUCUCCAUAUGAAACCAAUCAGAAAAUAAGGAAUUAAACUCCAGCCAGCAUCAGAGAAAGACAGGAAGGCACAGCUGUCAUCAGACAGAAUGAAAAUGCUCUGACAGUAAAAAAUAACAACUUUUCCACUCUCUGUGCAGGUCUCUUUCCAGGCAGCACAGAACAUCCAAAUGCAACCUUUCCUCUGGAUUUUUUUGCUCAGUUUGCAUAUACUGUUGCUGUACUCAGGAAGCAUCUAGGUCUUUAUCUGAUCUCCGUGGCAAAAAAGCAAGAAUAGACAGAUCACUGAGCACAGGGAUCAGCUAAACCAGAGGAAGCAGCAGUUGAACAGCAAUUAGGAGCAGCUCAGUGCCAUCCCAGCCCUCCUGACAAGGUUCUGACCCCAGGGUCUCCUAAAGCCUUGGACCCUUGGCUAAAGGGUACCUUGUGGUGUAAUCAGCAGGGCCAGGUUUAAUACGUGAUUUGAACACAGCCACAGUAAGCAGGAGGAUGCUAUUCAAGAUUAUGGGUUGUCCAACUUAGAAGAAGCUGGAGACCAUUAAGUAUCCAAGCAAAGAGACUCAUGGAGGAAACACAGGUAGAAGAAAGCACCAGAGCUGGAAGUUUGACUGUGCCCCACACUUGCUGUCAGGCCACCACGGUGGCAGCCCAGCCUGAGGGAACCCAGAAGCAAAGUGGAACUGGAGACUGGCUGCAGGCAAGGUUUCCACAGAGAUCUUUCUGCUUUCCCUGAGGUGAUGUGGUAUUAAAGACUUGAAGAGAUGGAAAAUUAUCUCAGAUAGCUGUGAGAUGGCCUGUGAUAGAGGAAGGAUUCCAGAGACAGCUUGACCAAAAGAGGAGGACAGGAGGAAGAUGGCUGAAAGGAAUGAGAGUGUACAGAGCCCCUCUUUAACAUGGAAAACCCAUUUGUCUACCUCACUGGAUACUGAGUGGAUGAAUACAUUAACUGCUUUGCAGCACGUUGGCCUGGUUUAUUCCUGGUCAGGAACAUCAGCAUAUCUGCACCUCAGCCAGACUCUGGGAAAUCAGUGAACCACGUAAACCACAACACCGUGGGGAGACUGAAGUGAGCUAAUGCUCAGCUCAUACAAACCACGUGGUUAUUGAAACUCAGGAAAAGAAACUGAUGACAGAGCCAGGUAAAACUGGCACAAUCCAGUGUAUUUGUGGAGUUAAACUCCUAUCUUCCAUGGCAAGGUGAGACAAAACUGGCAGGCUGUCAUUGCUCUCUCUAUUUUUAUUUCCUCCCUGUCACCUGGUACCAAAAUGCCUUUUUUGUUGGGAAUUCUGUCUGGUCCAUCCCAAAGGUGGUGCCUGGUGCCUCCUCUUGCUGCUCUGGAGCCUUCCUGCCUCCCUUUCACAGGCACAGACAUUGUCAUGAAAUAGUAGUGAGCAGAACCCCCAAACCAGCCACCACAACCAGAGACAUCUCCUGCUGUGUAACUUGGGAGGGACUUCACACUCUCAGACUAUCAUUUCAGUCCCUGGAAUCUUCCAUGGUGGGAGUU
Pseudopipra pipra is the source of this 7150-nucleotide long non-coding RNA. RefSeq lists it as uncharacterized. The record is from RefSeq and is a predicted model, not a curated record. NCBI's taxonomy places the organism in Eukaryota, Metazoa, Chordata, Aves, Passeriformes, Pipridae. The transcript has 5 exons.